Small nucleolar RNA from Humulus lupulus (European hop), 73 nucleotides. RefSeq annotates it as small nucleolar RNA R160. NCBI's taxonomy places the organism in Eukaryota, Viridiplantae, Streptophyta, Magnoliopsida, Rosales, Cannabaceae. The transcript has a single exon. The record is from RefSeq and is a predicted model, not a curated record.
AGCAAAGUGAUGAAUGCUUUAAUCUGAAUUUCUAUGUGGAAAUUAUUAUGGCCUUCAAAGUUCUCUGAUUGCU